GUCGGGCAUGGUGGCGCAUGCCUGUGGUCCCAUCUACUCGGGAGGCUGAGGCAGGAGGGUUGCUUGAGCCCGGGAGGCAGAGGCUGCAGUGAGCUGAGAUCGUGCCACUGCACUCUAGCCUGGGCAACAGAGGGAAACCCUGUCUCAA
RNAcentral lists this non-coding RNA (148 nucleotides) under Gorilla gorilla gorilla (western lowland gorilla). Lineage: Eukaryota; Metazoa; Chordata; Mammalia; Primates; Hominidae. The record is from Rfam by way of RNAcentral.